UCCAGUGUGGUGUAGUGGCUAACAUUGCUGUCUUUCAUUUGCGUAGUUCCUAUUGAACAAUCUUCACAGCAGCCCGGGGUUCGAUUCCCCGCAUUGGAA
Molecule: non-coding RNA, 99 nt
Organism: Rhodocollybia butyracea
Lineage: Eukaryota; Fungi; Basidiomycota; Agaricomycetes; Agaricales; Omphalotaceae
Source: the annotation of a GenBank genome assembly